This is a long non-coding RNA of Herpailurus yagouaroundi (jaguarundi), 248 nucleotides long. RefSeq lists it as uncharacterized. Lineage: Eukaryota; Metazoa; Chordata; Mammalia; Carnivora; Felidae. The record is from RefSeq and is a predicted model, not a curated record. The transcript is spliced from 2 exons.
GGGACGUUCUUUAAAGUGCAGAUUCUUGGGGCUUAACUCCUAACUAUGAAUCUCCAAGGGAGAGAUCCAGGAGUCUCUAUCUUCAUAACCAUCCCACGGACGCAGGGAUCAGUCCUCCCAGCUCUGCGAGGAAAGCCCCUGGGAGCAGAGCCGCCGGCUGCCCAGGCGGCCGUGGUAAUGAAGUGUCCCUGGGCAGCCCUGGAGUUAGCCAAAUGGUCAUUAAAUGUGAUGAGGGGUUUGACGGUUAA